RNAcentral lists this ribosomal RNA (253 nucleotides) under uncultured bacterium. RNAcentral describes it as "partial 16S ribosomal RNA". It matches the Rfam family "Bacterial small subunit ribosomal RNA", at positions 524 to 776 of the family's 1533-position model. The record is from RNAcentral.
UACGGAGGGUGCAAGCGUUAUCCGGAUUUACUGGGUUUAAAGGGUGCGUAGGUUGCUUGGUAAGUUAGUGGUGAAAUACUACAGCGCAACUGUGGAACUGCCAUUAAUACUAUCAAUCUUGAAUGCAGUGGAGGCGGGCGGAAUUUGUCAUGUAGCGGUGAAAUGCUUAGAUAUGGCACAGAACACCAAUUGCGAAGGCAGCUUGCUACACUGUGAUUGACACUGAGGCACGAAAGCGUGGGGAUCAAACAGG